UCGCGGCCUAUCAGCUUGUUGGUGAGGUAAUGGCUCACCAAGGCUCCGACGGGUAGCCGGCCUGAGAGGGCGACCGGCCACAUUGGGACUGAGAUACGGCCCAAACUCCUACGGGAGGCAGCAGUGGGGAAUAUUGCACAAUGGGCGCAAGCCUGAUGCAGCAACGCCGCGUGCGGGAUGACGGCCUUCGGGUUGUAAACCGCUUUCAUCCAUGACGAAGCGAGAGUGACGGUAGUGGAAGAAGAAGCACCGGCUAACUACGUGCCAGCAGCCGCGGUGAUACGUAGGGUGCGAGCGUUGUCCGGAUUUAUUGGGCGUAAAGAGCUUGUAGGCGGUUUGUCGCGUCGGGAGUGAAAACUCAGGGCUUAACCCUGAGCCUGCUUCCGAUACGGGCAGACUUGAGGAAGGUAGGGGAGAUUGGAAUUCCUGGUGAAGCGGUGGAAUGCGUAGAUAUCAGGAGGAACACCAGUGGCGAAGGCGGAUCUCUGGACCUUUCCUGACGCUGAGAAGCGAAAGCGUGGGGAGCAAACAGGCUUAGAUACCCUGGUAGUCCACGCCGUAAACGGUGGGUACUAGGUGUGGGGGACAUUCCACGUUCUCCGUGCCGCAGCUAACGCAUUAAGUACCCCGCCUGGGGAGUACGGCCGCAAGGCUAAAACUCAAAGGAAUUGACGGGGCCCCGCACAAGCGGCGGAGCAUGCGGAUUAAUUCGAUGCAACGCGAAGAACCUUACCUGGGUUUGACAUAUGCCGGAAACAUCUAGAGAUAGGUGCCCCUUUAUGGUCGGUAUACAGGUGGUGCAUGGCUGUCGUCAGCUCGUGUCGUGAGAUGUUGGGUUAAGUCCCGCAACGAGCGCAACCCUCGUCCUAUGUUGCCAGCGGGUAAUGCCGGGGACUCAUAGGAGACCGCCGGGGCAACUCGGAGGAAGGUGGGGAUGACGUCAAGUCAUCAUGCCCCUUAUGUCCAGGGCUUCACGCAUGCUACAAUGGCCGGUACAAAGAGCUGCGAACCUGUAAGGGUGAGCGAAUCUCAAAAAGCCGGUCUCAGUUCGGAUUGGGGUCUGCAACUCGACCCCAUGAAGUCGGAGUCGCUAGUAAUCGCAGAUCAGCAACGCUGCGGUGAAUACGUUCCCGGGGCUUGUACACACCGCCCGUCAAGUCAUGAAAGUCGGUAACACCCGAAGCCGGUGGCCUAACCCUUGUGGGGGGAGCCGUCGAAGGUGGGGCUGGA
This 1230-nucleotide ribosomal RNA is filed under the name uncultured Actinomycetes bacterium. RNAcentral's name for it is "bacterial SSU rRNA". It matches the Rfam family "Bacterial small subunit ribosomal RNA", at positions 231 to 1472 of the family's 1533-position model. The record is from RNAcentral. Lineage: Bacteria; Bacillati; Actinomycetota; Actinomycetes.